RNAcentral lists this ribosomal RNA (753 nucleotides) under uncultured bacterium. RNAcentral's name for it is "bacterial SSU rRNA". It matches the Rfam family "Bacterial small subunit ribosomal RNA", at positions 28 to 776 of the family's 1533-position model. The record is from RNAcentral.
GAUGAACGCUAGCGGCAGGCUUAACACAUGCAAGUCGAGGGGUAACGAUGGUGCUUGCACCAGGCGACGACCGGCGAACGUGUGCGUAACGCGUAUAGAAUCUGCCUUGUACAGGAGGAUAGCCUUUAGAAAUGAAGAUUAAUACUCCAUAAUGUUAUUUGGUGGCAUCAUUAAAUAAUUAAAGAUUUAUCGGUACAAGAUGACUAUGCGUCCUAUUAGUUAGUUGGUAAGGUAACGGCUUACCAAGGCAGCGAUAGGUAGGGGGUCUGAGAGGAUUAUCCCCCACACUGGUACUGAGACACGGACCAGACUCCUACGGGAGGCAGCAGUGAGGAAUAUUGGACAAUGGGCGCAAGCCUGAUCCAGCCAUGCCGCGUGCAGGAAGACGGCCCUAUGGGUUGUAAACUGCUUUUAUACAGGAAGAAACGUAUCCACGUGUGGAUAUUUGACGGUACUGUAAGAAUAAGCACCGGCUAACUCCGUGCCAGCAGCCGCGGUAAUACGGAGGGUGCAAGCGUUAUCCGGAAUCAUUGGGUUUAAAGGGUCCGCAGGCGGUCGAUUAAGUCAGAGGUGAAAUCCCAUAGCUUAACUAUGGAACUGCCUUUGAUACUGGUUGACUUGAGUCAUAUGGAAGUAGAUAGAAUAAGUAGUGUAGCGGUGAAAUGCAUAGAUAUUACUUAGAAUACCGAUUGCGAAGGCAGUCUACUACGUAUGUACUGACGCUCAUGGACGAAAGCGUGGGGAGCGAACAGG